This 584-nucleotide ribosomal RNA is filed under the name uncultured bacterium. Its description in RNAcentral is "bacterial SSU rRNA". It matches the Rfam family "Bacterial small subunit ribosomal RNA", at positions 340 to 916 of the family's 1533-position model. The record is from RNAcentral.
UACGGGUGGCAGCAGUCGAGAAUUUUUCUCAAUGGGGGAAACCCUGAAGGAGCGACGCCGCGUGGAGGAUGAAGGUCUUCGGAUUGUAAACUCCUGUCAUUGGGGAACAAUGCGUAAAUAUUAACUGUAUUUACGUCGAUAGUACCCGAAGAGGAAGAGACGGCUAACUCUGUGCCAGCAGCCGCGGUAAUACAGAGGUCUCAAGCGUUGUUCGGAUUCAUUGGGCGUAAAGGGUGCGUAGGCGGCGCGGUAAGUCGGGUGUGAAAUCUUGGAGCUUAACUCCGAAACUGCAUUCGAUACUGCCGUGCUUGAGGACUGGAAAGGAGACUGGAAUUUACGGUGUAGCGGUGAAAUGCGUAGAUAUCGUAAGGAAGACCAGUGGCGAAGGCGGGUCUCUGGACAGUUCCUGACGCUGAGGCACGAAGGCCAGGGGAGCAAACGGGAUUAGAUACCCCGGUAGUCCUGGCAGUAAACGGUGCACGUUUGGUGUGGGAGGAUUCGACCCCUUCUGCGCCGGAGCUAACGCGUUAAACGUGCCGCCUGGGGAGUACGGUCGCAAGAUUAAAACUCAAAUGAAUUGACGG